Actinia tenebrosa (Australian red waratah sea anemone) is the source of this 228-nucleotide long non-coding RNA. The record is from RefSeq and is a predicted model, not a curated record. Lineage: Eukaryota; Metazoa; Cnidaria; Anthozoa; Actiniaria; Actiniidae.
UUUUGCAUAUUUUCCAGGUUCAUCUUCUYCAAUCCAGUGCAAAAGUCCAAGAAGCACGACUUCGUAUGUCCAAAGCAAUAGAAAAAGGGCUGUUGCAGAAGUUUAUGACGACUAUGAUAAUGAAACGGGAGACAACGACUCAGAUGAUAAUCAGGUUGAAAUUGGAUUCAGCAGUGACGAUUCAAUUACUCAUUCUAAACCAGUUGAUGUCAACAAGAAAGAAAAAAU